Molecule: ribosomal RNA, 1010 nt
Filed under: Nocardiopsis sp.
Lineage: Bacteria; Bacillati; Actinomycetota; Actinomycetes; Streptosporangiales; Nocardiopsidaceae
Description: bacterial SSU rRNA
Rfam family: Bacterial small subunit ribosomal RNA
Source: RNAcentral
UUUUACCACCAACGCAGGCUCCACGUUCUCGUGGGGUUGACGGUAGGUGGGGAAUAAGGACCGGCUAACUACGUGCCAGCAGCCGCGGUAAUACGUAGGGUCCGAGCGUUGUCCGGAAUUAUUGGGCGUAAAGAGCUCGUAGGCGGCAUGUCGCGUCUGCUGUGAAAGACCGGGGCUUAACUCCGGUUCUGCAGUGGAUACGGGCAUGCUAGAGGUAGGUAGGGGAGACUGGAAUUCCUGGUGUAGCGGUGAAAUGCGCAGAUAUCAGGAGGAACACCGGUGGCGAAGGCGGGUCUCUGGGCCUUACCUGACGCUGAGGAGCGAAAGCAUGGGGAGCGAACAGGAUUAGAUACCCUGGUAGUCCAUGCCGUAAACGUUGGGCGCUAGGUGUGGGGACUUUCCACGGUUUCCGCGCCGUAGCUAACGCAUUAAGCGCCCCGCCUGGGGAGUACGGCCGCAAGGCUAAAACUCAAAGGAAUUGACGGGGGCCCGCACAAGCGGCGGAGCAUGUUGCUUAAUUCGACGCAACGCGAAGAACCUUACCAAGGUUUGACAUCACCCGUGGACCUGUAGAGAUACAGGGUCAUUUAGUUGGUGGGUGACAGGUGGUGCAUGGCUGUCGUCAGCUCGUGUCGUGAGAUGUUGGGUUAAGUCCCGCAACGAGCGCAACCCUUGUUCCAUGUUGCCAGCACGUAAUGGUGGGGACUCAUGGGAGACUGCCGGGGUCAACUCGGAGGAAGGUGGGGACGACGUCAAGUCAUCAUGCCCCUUAUGUCUUGGGCUGCAAACAUGCUACAAUGGCCGGUACAAUGGGCGUGCGAUACCGUAAGGUGGAGCGAAUCCCUUAAAGCCGGUCUCAGUUCGGAUUGGGGUCUGCAACUCGACCCCAUGAAGGUGGAGUCGCUAGUAAUCGCGGAUCAGCAACGCCGCGGUGAAUACGUUCCCGGGCCUUGUACACACCGCCCGUCACGUCAUGAAAGUCGGCAACACCCGAAACUUGUGGCCUAACC